GGAUGUAGCUUAGUGGUAAAGCUCUUGUCUAGCAUGCAUAAGGCCUGGGUUCAAUCUCCAGCACCA
This 66-nucleotide transfer RNA is filed under the name Marmota monax (woodchuck). Its description in RNAcentral is "tRNA.Ala". It matches the Rfam family "tRNA", at positions 6 to 65 of the family's 71-position model. From Rfam's summary of the family: Transfer RNA (tRNA) molecules are approximately 80 nucleotides in length. Their secondary structure includes four short double-helical elements and three loops (D, anti-codon, and T loops). Lineage: Eukaryota; Metazoa; Chordata; Mammalia; Rodentia; Sciuridae. The record is from RNAcentral.